Ziziphus jujuba (common jujube) is the source of this 325-nucleotide long non-coding RNA. RefSeq lists it as uncharacterized. Lineage: Eukaryota; Viridiplantae; Streptophyta; Magnoliopsida; Rosales; Rhamnaceae. The transcript is spliced from 2 exons. The record is from RefSeq and is a predicted model, not a curated record.
GUGCGAUGUAGUUAUGUUGCGCAUCCUUUUGUGUGCAGCAACGGCUGGACCUGCAUGAGAGCACGUGAUCGGAGAUGAUUAAGGCGGUGGCGGUGGAAUAAGUUUAGCUUCUCAUCUCCCUUCGCUGAGCCCUUUUGAUUCCGCACGUGGGUUCAUGAACUGAGUGAUAUGAUAUCCUCAUAUGCUCCACAAGAUGCUCCAGUCUGUUAAAUUGUCUGAAGCAUGCUGCACACUUGUUCCUGGUAAUUAAUUGUCCAACAAGCAAUUAGUAUUACAUAUAUAUCUUUAAAUGGGUUUUCUAAUGCAUAUAUAUAUUUUCCAACAA